Molecule: ribosomal RNA, 2929 nt
Filed under: Salmonella enterica subsp. enterica serovar Senftenberg
Lineage: Bacteria; Pseudomonadati; Pseudomonadota; Gammaproteobacteria; Enterobacterales; Enterobacteriaceae
Description: 23S ribosomal RNA
Rfam family: Bacterial large subunit ribosomal RNA
Source: RNAcentral
GGGUUGUGAGGUUAAGCGACUAAGCGUACACGGUGGAUGCCCUGGCAGUCAGAGGCGAUGAAGGACGUGCUAAUCUGCGAUAAGCGCCGGUAAGGUGAUAUGAACCGUUAUAACCGGCGAUUUCCGAAUGGGGAAACCCAGUGUGAUUCGUCACACUAUCAUUAACUGAAUCCAUAGGUUAAUGAGGCGAACCGGGGGAACUGAAACAUCUAAGUACCCCGAGGAAAAGAAAUCAACCGAGAUUCCCCCAGUAGCGGCGAGCGAACGGGGAGGAGCCCAGAGCCUGAAUCAGCAUGUGUGUUAGUGGAAGCGUCUGGAAAGGCGCGCGAUACAGGGUGACAGCCCCGUACACAAAAGCGCAUGUGCUGUGAGCUCGAUGAGUAGGGCGGGACACGUGGUAUCCUGUCUGAAUAUGGGGGGACCAUCCUCCAAGGCUAAAUACUCCUGACUGACCGAUAGUGAACCAGUACCGUGAGGGAAAGGCGAAAAGAACCCCGGCGAGGGGAGUGAAAAAGAACCUGAAACCGUGUACGUACAAGCAGUGGGAGCACAGGUUUACCUGUGUGACUGCGUACCUUUUGUAUAAUGGGUCAGCGACUUAUAUUCUGUAGCAAGGUUAACCGAAUAGGGGAGCCGGAGGGAAACCGAGUCUUAAUUGGGCGUUAAGUUGCAGGGUAUAGACCCGAAACCCGGUGAUCUAGCCAUGGGCAGGUUGAAGGUUGGGUAACACUAACUGGAGGACCGAACCGACUAAUGUUGAAAAAUUAGCGGAUGACCUGUGGCUGGGGGUGAAAGGCCAAUCAAACCGGGAGAUAGCUGGUUCUCCCCGAAAGCUAUUUAGGUAGCGCCUCGUGAAUUCAUCUCCGGGGGUAGAGCACUGUUUCGGCUAGGGGGCCAUCCCGGCUUACCAACCCGAUGCAAACUGCGAAUACCGGAGAAUGUUAUCACGGGAGACACACGGCGGGUGCUAACGUCCGUCGUGAAGAGGGAAACAACCCAGACCGCCAGCUAAGGUCCCAAAGUCAUGGUUAAGUGGGAAACGAUGUGGGAAGGCCCAGACAGCCAGGAUGUUGGCUUAGAAGCAGCCAUCAUUUAAAGAAAGCGUAAUAGCUCACUGGUCGAGUCGGCCUGCGCGGAAGAUGUAACGGGGCUAAACCAUGCACCGAAGCUGCGGCAGCGACGCUGAUGCGUUGUUGGGUAGGGGAGCGUUCUGUAAGCCUGCGAAGGUGGCCUGUGAGGGUUGCUGGAGGUAUCAGAAGUGCGAAUGCUGACAUAAGUAACGAUAAAGCGGGUGAAAAGCCCGCUCGCCGGAAGACCAAGGGUUCCUGUCCAACGUUAAUCGGGGCAGGGUGAGUCGACCCCUAAGGCGAGGCCGAAAGGCGUAGUCGAUGGGAAACGGGUUAAUAUUCCCGUACUUGGUGUUACUGCGAAGGGGGGACGGAGAAGGCUAUGUUGGCCGGGCGACGGUUGUCCCGGUUUAAGCGUGUAGGUGUGUGUUCCAGGUAAAUCCGGUUCACUUUAACACUGAGGCGUGACGACGAGGCACUACGGUGCUGAAGCAACAAAUGCCCUGCUUCCAGGAAAAGCCUCUAAGCAUCAGGUAACAUCAAAUCGUACCCCAAACCGACACAGGUGGUCAGGUAGAGAAUACCAAGGCGCUUGAGAGAACUCGGGUGAAGGAACUAGGCAAAAUGGUGCCGUAACUUCGGGAGAAGGCACGCUGACACGUAGGUGAAGUGAUUUACUCAUGGAGCUGAAGUCAGUCGAAGAUACCAGCUGGCUGCAACUGUUUAUUAAAAACACAGCACUGUGCAAACACGAAAGUGGACGUAUACGGUGUGACGCCUGCCCGGUGCCGGAAGGUUAAUUGAUGGGGUCAGCGCAAGCGAAGCUCCUGAUCGAAGCCCCGGUAAACGGCGGCCGUAACUAUAACGGUCCUAAGGUAGCGAAAUUCCUUGUCGGGUAAGUUCCGACCUGCACGAAUGGCGUAAUGAUGGCCAGGCUGUCUCCACCCGAGACUCAGUGAAAUUGAACUCGCUGUGAAGAUGCAGUGUACCCGCGGCAAGACGGAAAGACCCCGUGAACCUUUACUAUAGCUUGACACUGAACAUUGAGCCUUGAUGUGUAGGAUAGGUGGGAGGCUUUGAAGUGUGGACGCCAGUCUGCAUGGAGCCGACCUUGAAAUACCACCCUUUAAUGUUUGAUGUUCUAACGUGGACCCGUUACCCGGGUUGCGGACAGUGUCUGGUGGGUAGUUUGACUGGGGCGGUCUCCUCCUAAAGAGUAACGGAGGAGCACGAAGGUUGGCUAAUCCUGGUCGGACAUCAGGAGGUUAGUGCAAUGGCAUAAGCCAGCUUGACUGCGAGCGUGACGGCGCGAGCAGGUGCGAAAGCAGGUCAUAGUGAUCCGGUGGUUCUGAAUGGAAGGGCCAUCGCUCAACGGAUAAAAGGUACUCCGGGGAUAACAGGCUGAUACCGCCCAAGAGUUCAUAUCGACGGCGGUGUUUGGCACCUCGAUGUCGGCUCAUCACAUCCUGGGGCUGAAGUAGGUCCCAAGGGUAUGGCUGUUCGCCAUUUAAAGUGGUACGCGAGCUGGGUUUAGAACGUCGUGAGACAGUUCGGUCCCUAUCUGCCGUGGGCGCUGGAGAACUGAGGGGGGCUGCUCCUAGUACGAGAGGACCGGAGUGGACGCAUCACUGGUGUUCGGGUUGUCAUGCCAAUGGCACUGCCCGGUAGCUAAAUGCGGAAGAGAUAAGUGCUGAAAGCAUCUAAGCACGAAACUUGCCCCGAGAUGAGUUCUCCCUGAGACUUUAAGUCUCCUGAAGGAACGUUGAAGACGACGACGUUGAUAGGCCGGGUGUGUAAGCGCAGCGAUGCGUUGAGCUAACCGGUACUAAUGAACCGUGAGGCUUAACCUUACAACGCCGAAG